Long non-coding RNA from Esox lucius (northern pike), 2918 nucleotides. The record is from Ensembl. NCBI's taxonomy places the organism in Eukaryota, Metazoa, Chordata, Actinopteri, Esociformes, Esocidae.
UUAUUGAGAAUGAGAGGGACAGACAGACAGAAUGAUUGAGACAAAAGUAGAGAGAGGGAAAGAGACACAACAGGUAAUAACAGGCCCAUGAUGAUUCAGCAUAUAUGUGGGUAGACAUUAUAACCACAUCCCAUGUGCAUCAUGAAUAGAUACAGUUCCAACUGAUUUAAUACUUCUAAGAAUAGAGCACUGGACUUGAUUCAGCCUAAUGAGUAGUACAUGUGAUGUCAUCAUGAUGUGGUCUCCCCCCACAGGAGUAUUGACGUCUGCAUCUAAAUAGUCUAUUUGUCUUCCUCCACCUCUUCCUGCUCUCCUAGUUUUCUAGCUAUGGCAUGCCAUGAUAUGGAUUAAAAGGGACCAGUGAAUGUACAUAAAUACUUGGUAGGCAUCCAGGAUAAUGCUUUCAUCUUUCCUUUCAUAUCAAUGUUAAUUAAGGAGACCAAUUCAGAGUAUUACAAUGCAGCCAUGGGUUCUGUAAUCAAAGGUUACAUACUUAAAAAGACCAAUUUACAGCAACAACAUAGGAAGUAUGUCAGGACACCAGGUUUAACCACAGAGAGUUGGUCCGAAAAACAUGUUUAACCACAGAGAGUUGGUCCGAAAAACAUGUUUAACCACAGAGAGUCAGUCAGGAAAACAUGUUUAACCACGGAGUCAGUCAGGAAAACAGGUUUAACCACAGAGGGUCUGUCAGGAAAACAGGUUUAACUACAGAGAGUCAAUCAGGAAAACAGGUUUAACCACAGAGUCAGUCAGGAAAACAUGUUUAACCACAGAGAGUCAGUCAGGAAAACAGGUUUAACCACAGAGGGUCUGUCAGGAAAACAGGUUUAACUACAGAGAGUCAGUCAGGAAAACAGGUUUAACCACAGAGAGUCAGUCAGGAAAACAGGUUUAACCACAGAGAGUCAGUCAGGAAAACAGGUUUAACCACAGAGUCAGUCAGGAAAACAGGUUUAACCACAGAGGGUCUGUCAGGAAAACAGGUUUAACCACAGAGAGUCAGUCAGGAAAACAUGUUUAACCACAGAGAGUCAGUCAGGAAAACAUGUUUAACCACAGAGAGUCAGUCAGGAAAACAGGUUUAACCACAGAGAGUCAGUCAGGAAAACAGUUCGUCCAUUUACUAUAACUUUGACCCAACAACUGUCUGGGUGUCUGGGACAUUUAGCAAAAGAAAUUCAAAAAACAGAAUACCCCUUCAAAACAUAUGUAUCUCACCACUGUGCUCUUAACAAUUAGCUAUGUUGCAGCAUUUAUCCUGCACCCUCCCCCCAUCUCACUGCAAUUGUCAGGAACCCCCGACCACUCCCAUGGGACGGCCAUGUCAUGCAUUCUAACCCCUCCCCUCUCAUCUCAUAUUCCAUCACCACAGCAACCUAAUCCAUUUACUUCCUGGAACACACAGCCAGGGCGUGUCAUCAAGCUGCUUUACAUCUGCAAGGACAUCAGCUCCUCCUAGACAAUGAUUCAAUCUUCCCUCUUCCCUCUGUUACACCCAUUUCAUACAACUAAUGCAGCCACAACCAGCUGACAGAUCUUCACAGUAAUAUAUUAAAUAAUACAGUAAUACAAUAUAUUACAAAUCAGCAGAACAGAUUUCAUGAAAACAUAAACCCAUUAUAUCCCAUAAAGAUCAACGAAUCAAAGUCUAUAGAAACAUACCUUUUCAUUUGUCUAUGGGAAGACAUAUUGUUCCCCUUGUCAAGUGAACAGAAAGACUGAUAAGACAGUCCUGAAUUGGCUGUACCAAUCAAAAUUUACCACAUUCUAUUAGAAGUGGUAGUUCCUGGCUAUCUUAAGGUAAAUAAACGAACAGUUAUCCCCUUUAGAUAUGAGAGUCUGCUAAAUUGAAAACAUACAUUUAAAUGUCAGCGUAGGUUGUUGAAGCUCAACAUUAGUAAGACGAUAACAGAACUACAGGUUGUACCUUCCUCCUUCAUGCUGCAAUAACAAACUCACAGAGUAACAACGAUCUGCACAUCAACAGACCCACAACACAGCCAUAUUGCAGUGUUAUAUAAGGACACUUCCAAGACUGACAGAGAAACAGAAAGAGAGAGACAGAAGGAGAGACAUAGAGAGACCUACCAAGCUUAUUUUGACUCAGCAUAAUCGUAGACAGCAAAACGGGCACAGCUAGCAAACUCUGACACUGAGCAGCAGGAUAGAGGACACACACUCUGUCUUCUCCCUCUCUGUCUUUCUCUAAUUCUAAACUGUUAAACACACCCAAAAGGACUGAUGCAUCUUCCUAUCUCUCUGCGUAUGGAAGCUGCUGGAAGCUGCUGCGCUUGUUUACCGUGCAGUCCAACCGCUGAGCCUGGAGGUAGAAGCUAGAGCAGCAGUGGCCCAUAGCAGGCUGCAGGGCAGACCAAUGAUUCAUUCCACACUGAUGCUGCUACACACCCAAAGAUAUGGACAGGGAGACAGAGAGAGCUGGGGAGGAAGGAGAGGCUGGAGAGAGGGGAGUAGAGGGAGGAGGUGUGGGGGAAGGGAAAAUAAGGGAAGGGACAAAAAAGAUGAAAUCAGGGGAGACAAAAAUAGAAAGAAUAAACAGAGAAAUAAAGAGAGAAAGAAAGGGAAGCGAGAAGAUGUAGCACUAGAAAGGAUGGAAAGAGAGGAGAUGUAGAACUACAAAGGAUGGAAAGAGGGGAGAUGUAGAACUACAAAGGAUGGAAAGAGGGGAGAUGUAGAACUACAAAGUGAUGUCAGCAUUACAAAGAAAGAAGAGGGAAGUGAGAAGGACUGGAUUGAGACAAAGGGAAGAUGAGAUUACUAAAGAGCCAGCAUGCCAGCCACACCUCUCAGCCAGCCUCACCUCUCAGCCAGCCACACCUCUCUGCCAGCCUCACCUCUCUGCCAGCCACACCUCUCAGCCAGCCUCACCUCUCAGCCAGCCUCACCUCUCAGCCAGC